UGGGGAAUUUUGGACAAUGGGGGCAACCCUGAUCCAGCAAUGCCGCGUGUGUGAAGAAGGCCUUCGGGUUGUAAAGCACUUUUGUCCGGAAAGAAAACUUCGGGGCUAACACCCCUGGAGGAUGACGGUACCGGAAGAAUAAGCACCGGCUAACUACGUGCCAGCAGCCGCGGUAAUACGUAGGGUGCGAGCGUUAAUCGGAAUUACUGGGCGUAAAGCGUGCGCAGGCGGUGCUGUAAGACCGAUGUGAAAUCCCCGGGCUUAACCUGGGAACUGCAUUGGUGACUGCAGCGCUGGAGUAUGGCAGAGGGGGGUGGAAUUCCACGUGUAGCAGUGAAAUGCGUAGAGAUGUGGAGGAACACCGAUGGCGAAGGCAGCCCCCUGGGCCAAUACUGACGCUCAUGCACGAAAGCGUGGGGAGCAAACAGG
RNAcentral lists this ribosomal RNA (429 nucleotides) under Bacillota bacterium. RNAcentral's name for it is "Firmicutes bacterium partial 16S ribosomal RNA". It matches the Rfam family "Bacterial small subunit ribosomal RNA", at positions 355 to 776 of the family's 1533-position model. The record is from RNAcentral. Lineage: Bacteria; Bacillati; Bacillota.